RNAcentral lists this ribosomal RNA (433 nucleotides) under uncultured bacterium. RNAcentral describes it as "partial 16S ribosomal RNA". It matches the Rfam family "Bacterial small subunit ribosomal RNA", at positions 29 to 507 of the family's 1533-position model. The record is from RNAcentral.
AACGAACGCUGGCGGCAGGCCUAACACAUGCAAGUCGAGCGCGCCCUUCGGGGUGAGCGGCGGACGGGUGAGUAACUCGUGGUAACGUUCCCUUUUCUACGGAAUAGCCUCGGGAAACUGAGAGUAAUACCGUAUACGCCCUUUGGGGGAAAGAUUUAUCGGAAAAGGAUCGGCCCGCGUUGGAUUAGGUAGUUGGUGGGGUAAUGGCCUAUCAAGCCGAAGAUCCAUAGCUGGUUUGAGAGGAUUAUCAGCCACACUGGGACUGAGACACGGCCCAUACUCAUACGGGAGGCAGCAGUGGGGAAUCUUAGAAAAGGGGGGCAACACUGAAUAAGCCAUGCCGCGUGAGUGAUGAAGGCCUUAGGGUGGUAAAGCACCUUCAGCUGGGAAGAUAAUGACGGUACCAGCAGAAGAAGCCCCGGCUAACUCCGUG